CGCUCUUUGGAGUUACUCGAGUGGCGAACGGGUGAGUAACACGUGGGUGAUCUGCCCUGCACUUUGGGAUAAGCCUGGGAAACUGGGUCUAAUACCGAAUAGGACUCUGGACCUGCAUGGUCUGGGGUGGAAAGCUUUUGCGGUGUGGGAUGGGCCCGCGGCCUAUCAGCUUGUUGGUGGGGUGAUGGCCUACCAAGGCGACGACGGGUAGCCGGCCUGAGAGGGUGUCCGGCCACACUGGGACUGAGAUACGGCCCAGACUCCUACGGGAGGCAGCAGUGGGGAAUAUUGCACAAUGGGCGCAAGCCUGAUGCAGCGACGCCGCGUGGGGGAUGACGGCCUUCGGGUUGUAAACCUCUUUCAGCACAGACGAAGCGCGAGUGACGGUAUGUGACAGAAGAAGCACCGGCCAACUACGUGCCAGCAGCCGCGGUAAUACGUAGGGUGCGAGCGUUGUCCGGAAUUACUGGGCGUAAA
This 477-nucleotide ribosomal RNA is filed under the name uncultured Mycobacterium sp. RNAcentral describes it as "bacterial SSU rRNA". It matches the Rfam family "Bacterial small subunit ribosomal RNA", at positions 74 to 564 of the family's 1533-position model. The record is from RNAcentral. Lineage: Bacteria; Bacillati; Actinomycetota; Actinomycetes; Mycobacteriales; Mycobacteriaceae.